UUUACAUUUUCAAGUAAGGUUCCUCUGCCAAAUAACACACUGUACCUUAACUAUAAUAAAAAAGCAGAGACUCUGUGUUUAUAAAAACAUUGCAGGAGCAACUGUGAUCAUAUUACUUGAAUUUAUUCUAUUCGUGUGCUCAAAUAUGCAUUUUUAUAGUAAGCUCUCUAGUACACCGGUCACUUACAGGAGUAGAAAAUGACAUGUACAGACAGAAGGCUGGCAUAGCGGAACAAACCAAGCUGGUAAAGUACAGGAAUUCAGAGCCAGACCAAAAUAUGAGGUCAAGGAAGUUGCUCUUAUAAUGAUAGUGGUUAUCUGUUUAAUGUGUGAUCUGGCAGUGAUAUGAUGUUGACCAUAAGCAAUUACGCAUGUUUCUAAACUGGUGGUAUAUGAGCCCUAAGUAACUGUAUGCAAGAUAAAUAGGCUGUGAGAAAUGGGCGCUCACUCUAUUCUUGUGGUAGUUCUUGCUUAAUGUCAAUUAAAAUUACAGCUUAGUAAUAGAUAGAAAUUCUCCUCGUGUAAAGCAAUGUCUGUAUUCACUCUAUCCGUUGCCAUACACUUAAAAUCCUAUAUUGAAACCAGUUUUAUGAAGCAAACUCCUGUCUGAGCUGAUAAAUGCUGCAUAAUGUUCUUCUUAACAGACGUGGUUAGACAUGCUUUUUCUAACUCUCUGGUUAUUAUUUGAAACAGCUUUCUUUACAAUCAAGUUCUAACAUCUGUCCGUGAAUGAUGCCCUUGUUCUCUAUUUUGUCGUGCAUGAGCCUAGAAGUGAGCAGUGUCCUCAAUGUACGUUUAGCUGCCUGGCAUUGACCUUGCAGGAGUUAAAAGCAGGAAGGUCUUCGUGACACCAAACAACCCGAGCACAAAUUAGGACCUGGGAGCUGCUAUGCUGAGGCCCUGGCUCUGAAACACUUUUUUUAGGACUUUGGUGAAUUCACUGGACUGCGUAUCUUCUCAUUAGCUUUUAAUAGACUUGAAUCCCGCUGUUCUAACAGUGCCUAUGUCUUCCUCUGUAAAAUGGGAUUGUGAUGUUUUCCUGGGCUUAGGAAGAUGUGGCUGGAGUGGAAGCUGUGUGGUUAGCUGACUGCGGUAGAAACUGUGCUGAUGAGCUAUGAAGACACCCAGGAAAGCCUCUUCUCCCCAAGAGCAAGCAGUUGCGUACAAUUUGGCUCCUUCACUCAGCUGGAAACAAGGAAAAUGGCCAGGAUUACUGUGCUACUCAUCCCUCUGCAGACUAUCAGCGACAACUCCACAGACAAAGCUGGGAACCAACAGUUUCAUGCGAUAAGUAUUUGGAUGCAUUUUCAAGUAAGGCUUUUUGUAGCAUCCUAAACAGAAGGAUAUUGAAGGGAGCUGAUUCUGCUUUGAUCCUUAUGCUUGUUGUCAAAGCGCUUGGGAUUGAAGAGACUGUUGGCUACAAUUGACUGUGACAAUUAGGAGAUGAUCAGAGCCCUAGAGUGGAGCACUUAAAGGGUAAUUUACAUGUCAGUUUGUCGAAU
Falco peregrinus (peregrine falcon) is the source of this 1502-nucleotide long non-coding RNA. RefSeq lists it as uncharacterized. The record is from RefSeq and is a predicted model, not a curated record. The transcript is spliced from 3 exons. NCBI's taxonomy places the organism in Eukaryota, Metazoa, Chordata, Aves, Falconiformes, Falconidae.